GCAACGCGAAGAACCUUACCUGGGCUUGACAUCCCGAGAAUCCCCUGGAAACAGGGGAGUGCCUUUCGGGGAACUCGGAGACAGGUGCUGCAUGGCUGUCGUCAGCUCGUGUCGUGAGAUGUUGGGUUAAAGUCCCGCAACGAGCGCAACCCUUGUCUUAAUUGCCAGCAUUCAGUUGGGCACUUUAAAGAGACUGCCGGUGUUAAGCCGGAGGAAGGUGGGGAUGACGUCAAGUCCUCAUGGCCUUUAUGCCCAGGGCUACACACGUGCUACAAUGGGUGGUACAAAGAGAUGCCAACUCGCGAGAGCGCGCCAAUCUCAGAAAGCCAUCCUCAGUUCGGAUUGGAGUCUGCAACUCGACUCCAUGAAGUUGGAAUCGCUAGUAAUCGCGGAUCAGCACGCCGCGGUCGAAUACGUUCCCGGGCCUU
This 428-nucleotide ribosomal RNA is filed under the name uncultured Syntrophus sp. RNAcentral's name for it is "bacterial SSU rRNA". It matches the Rfam family "Bacterial small subunit ribosomal RNA", at positions 956 to 1382 of the family's 1533-position model. The record is from RNAcentral. Lineage: Bacteria; Pseudomonadati; Thermodesulfobacteriota; Syntrophia; Syntrophales; Syntrophaceae.